Molecule: long non-coding RNA, 562 nt
Organism: Zalophus californianus (California sea lion)
Lineage: Eukaryota; Metazoa; Chordata; Mammalia; Carnivora; Otariidae
Exons: 4
Source: RefSeq, a predicted model, not a curated record
GUUAAAAGGAUUUUUACUCUGGCGGGUCAAUCUUUCGUCCAUGAAGAAAGCAAGCAGAAUUUGAACUGCAGGAAUCUCGCUCUCUUCCGGUGAGGAUUCACUCACUGGCCGUGAGGAAGCCUCACCCUCGCCCCCAUUUCUGUUUCACUCGGCCAUAGCUGUUCCUCCAGCGUCUUCCUUUACAGACGCAUUGCUUCGUUCUGCGGGAUGUGCCGUCGGCAGAGAAGUUAGAUAUCAUCUACAUCAGAGUCUCGGAAAGACUUUGAGACCUUUCCCUUGGCUUAAUUCCACCACGUGAAGGAUGAGAAGGGGAGCAGGGCGUGAAGGAAGGACUGUGGUAGGUGGAACUAAGGUAUCCUCGUGGACCCAGGUAACUCAACAAGAUCUCUCCAUCAGCCAGUUUGACAGAUCCAAUAGUUAGAUGUGAGAUCAGAGUGCCUGCAUUGUCUGCCUUGUAUGCCUAAAAUGCUAUCAUCACAUGCAUUUUAAAGAAAUCACUUCACUUUCUUCCACUAUUACUGCUGAGAAAUCAAGUGCCAGUGAUAUCAUUACUUCUAUAAAG